Molecule: ribosomal RNA, 301 nt
Filed under: uncultured bacterium
Lineage: Bacteria
Description: partial 16S ribosomal RNA
Rfam family: Bacterial small subunit ribosomal RNA
Source: RNAcentral
CAGUAGCCACGGUAAUACAGAGGGUGCGAGCGUUAAUCGGAUUUACUGGGCGUAAGGCGUGCGUAGGCGGCUUCUUAAGUCGGAUGUGAAAUCCCUGAGCUUAACUUAGGAAUUGCAUUCGAUACUGGGAAGCUAGAGUAUGGGAGAGGAUGGUAGAAUUCCAGGUGUAGCGGUGAAAUGCGUAGAGAUCUGGAGGAAUACCGAUGGCGAAGGCAGCCAUCUGGCCUAAUACUGACGCUGAGGUACGAAAGCAUGGGGAGCAAACAGGAUUAGAUACCCCCGUAGUCCCUGUCUCUUAUAC